Chelonoidis abingdonii (Abingdon island giant tortoise) is the source of this 225-nucleotide non-coding RNA. The record is from RefSeq and is a predicted model, not a curated record. NCBI's taxonomy places the organism in Eukaryota, Metazoa, Chordata, Testudines, Testudinidae.
GAGUGUGAGUGAGACACACAAGUGGACAGUCCCUCAUGGGCUGAAACUAGGGUGGACAUGCACUGUCCCCCUUGUUGCCCCAUAGAGCUUGCCUAGAAAAGGUUUAAUCAUGGCCAAGUCCAAGAAUCACACCACUCACAACCAAUCUCGCAAAUGGCACAGAAAUGGUAUCAAGAAACCCAGAUCCCAGAGAUAUGAGUCUCUGAAGGGGGUUGAUCCCAAGUU